AGAUUAUCAAGUAUCAUUAGCAAAAUCCAAUUAGCAGGAAAUUGUGUUCAAAACAAAGUAAGUCCACACUCUAGCUUUGAGCUCCAACCAAGAAUACAUGUCUGGAUGACAAGAAAAUGACACGAAGAAUGAUGAAAAAAGGAAACUUACCUAGACAUGCACCUUAAACCUCUACAACCUGGGGGGAAAGCCACAAAUGCUGGAAUUCCUGUAGGUGAACCAAUAAGUCAAGUUAAAAAGGGUGAAGAGAUGGGGGAAAUCAUGCAUCAGUGUCGGUUAAUCCGUCAAAGCAUAAUGAACUGCAAUUCAAAUUGAUUUUGGCAGACGAGAUAACCCCUAUCAAAAUCGUAACCCAAGGAAAAACAGAGGCAAGUCAUAGAUAAACAUGUAUAUAGUCAAAAUUUAUCAUAUUUUCCUCAAUCUCGGUUCCUUGACCUUAGUGACCGAAUAUUAGACCUAGCGAGCUGAGUGCAGUAGAAGAUUAGUGUAUCGGAAAUCUUCUCCUACCAUUUUUGCUUAAUGCAAAAAUAGAAAUCUUAACUCACUGGGCGCAAAUGUAUAAUUUACACAUUAUAGCAUCUAGGGAAGAAUUAAUCAUGAUAAGACCACUCCACCGACUAUUCAGUUUCAUAUCUCCAGAUCUUCUUACUACUGCAAAGGCAUUUUGCAUUGCCACCUCAUAUGUGCUCUUUUCCAGAUCCGAUGAGCUAUAGUACUUCAAGCCCAUCGUAUCUCUCCUCUAAUGAAGUUAUAGCAAACAUAAUUCAGAACCUAACAGCAGCCAUUAGUGGUUAAAGUGCUGCAGUUAAAUUGCUAAACACCACAUAAAGCUAUCUAAUUCUUUAUUUUUUUUAUUUUAUUUUUUGCAAAAGACAACCAAAAAUCCCAAGUGCCAGAGGCACACGGUUUGAAACUCGGAGGAUAACGGGCCUGCACCUCUACCUUUCUCCACUUAAAUACCAGGCUUAUGUCAGUCUGCACGUAACAGUUAUCUAAUUCUUAUCUCAUUUAGUCCCUAAAAUAUAUAUUUAUUUCAUUGUUAAGUUACCAAUUGAAUCUCACACUUCUGUAUAUGAUUUCAGUGGAAGAAUAAAAUAUCAGCCAUAAAUAUGAAUGCUGUGAAAUGCGUUCCAAGCUUGUAUUUCAGCAGAAUAUGAUCUAACAGCUGCAGUAUUCUGUAGAAGCAUUUUUGAGGAAUGACAGUAAAAUUGACAUUUGUUUAUUAAAGUACUUUCCAUGUCUGAAAAAUGGUAGUCCACCAGGUCCUUUCUCAGCUAGAUAUGUGGCAAGUUGAACAUCAGCAAGAUCAAUAACUCCAGUAUCUGCGACCCCAUCCAGCAAAGUAACUGAAGAGACAAGAUAGAAGAAAUAAAUGGAAAAAAACAAACCACAUAACAUUAGCAGGGUACAAAAGAAAUACACCAAAUAACAUUAGCAAAUUAUAGAUGGGAAAUAAAUGUCUACA
RNAcentral lists this long non-coding RNA (1465 nucleotides) under Nicotiana benthamiana. RNAcentral's name for it is "long non-coding RNA (NBEN_LNC026957)". The record is from RNAcentral. Lineage: Eukaryota; Viridiplantae; Streptophyta; Magnoliopsida; Solanales; Solanaceae.